CUUCACCCCAAUCAUCUGUCCCACCUUAGGCGGCUGGCUCCUUGCGGUUACCCCACCGACUUCGGGUGUUACAAACUCUCGUGGUGUGACGGGCGGUGUGUACAAGACCCGGGAACGUAUUCACCGUGGCAUGCUGAUCCACGAUUACUAGCGAUUCCGGCUUCAUGUAGGCGAGUUGCAGCCUACAAUCCGAACUGAGAAUGGUUUUAUGGGAUUGGCUAAACCUCACGGUCUCGCAGCCCUUUGUACCAUCCAUUGUAGCACGUGUGUAGCCCGGGUCAUAAGGGGCAUGAUGAUUUGACGUCAUCCCCACCUUCCUCCGGUUUGUCACCGGCAGUCUCCUUAGAGUGCCCAACUAAAUGCUGGCAACUAAGGACAAGGGUUGCGCUCGUUGCGGGACUUAACCCAACAUCUCACGACACGAGCUGACGACAACCAUGCACCACCUGUCACUCUGUCCCCCGAAGGG
RNAcentral lists this ribosomal RNA (469 nucleotides) under uncultured Gram-positive bacterium. RNAcentral's name for it is "partial 16S ribosomal RNA". The record is from RNAcentral.